AUCUAGGCUCUUGCAUCGAUGAAGAACGUAGCGAAAUGCGAUACUUGGUGUGAAUUGCAGAAUCCCGUGAACCAUCGAGUCUUUGAACGCAAGUUGCGCCCGAUGCCAUUAGGUUGAGGGCACGUCUGCCUGGGCGUCACAUAUCGAAGCCUCCUGCCAAUUUC
RNAcentral lists this ribosomal RNA (164 nucleotides) under Vicia grandiflora. Its description in RNAcentral is "5.8S ribosomal RNA". The stretch from base 1 to 139 matches the Rfam family "5.8S ribosomal RNA", at positions 18 to 154 of the family's 154-position model. Rfam says of the family: 5.8S ribosomal RNA (5.8S rRNA) is a component of the large subunit of the eukaryotic ribosome. It is transcribed by RNA polymerase I as part of the 45S precursor that also contains 18S and 28S rRNA. Lineage: Eukaryota; Viridiplantae; Streptophyta; Magnoliopsida; Fabales; Fabaceae. RNAcentral also lists the same sequence under 2 other names. The record is from RNAcentral.